UGUUCACUGUGAACUCUGCCUCUGCUAGC
RNAcentral lists this non-coding RNA (29 nucleotides) under Bombyx mori (domestic silkworm). The record is from RNAcentral. Lineage: Eukaryota; Metazoa; Arthropoda; Insecta; Lepidoptera; Bombycidae.